RNAcentral lists this ribosomal RNA (253 nucleotides) under uncultured bacterium. RNAcentral describes it as "partial 16S ribosomal RNA". It matches the Rfam family "Bacterial small subunit ribosomal RNA", at positions 524 to 776 of the family's 1533-position model. The record is from RNAcentral.
UACGUAGGUGGCAAGCGUUGUCCGGAUUUACUGGGCGUAAAGAGCGCGCAGGCGGUCGUUCAAGUCGCGUGUGAAAGCCCCCGGCUCAACUGGGGAGGGUCACGCGAUACUGAUCGACUCGAAGGCAGGAGAGGGAAGUGGAAUUCCCGGUGUAGUGGUGAAAUGCGUAGAUAUCGGGAGGAACACCAGUGGCGAAGGCGGCGACCUGGGUAGAUACUGACGCUGAGGUGCGAAAGCGUGGGGAGCAAACAGG